AGCAGCCGCGGUAAUUCCAGCUCCAAUAGCGUAUAUUAAAGUUGUUGCAGUUAAAAAGCUCGUAGUUGAAUUUCGGGAUUGACGUGAUGGUCGUGCCUUAAGGGGUAUGAACUGUCGCUGUUGAUUUCUCACCUUCUGGAGAAACUUGAUGUCCUUAAUUGGGUGUCUUGCGGAUCCAGGACCUUUACCUUGAAAAAUUAGAGUGUUUAAAGCAGGCAUUUUUGCUCGAAUACAUUAGCAUGGAAUAAUAGAAUAGGACGGCAUGGUUCUAUUUUGUUGGUUUCUAGGAUCACCGUAAUGAUUAAUAGGGAUAGUUGGGGGCAUUAGUAUUCAAUUGUCAGAGGUGAAAUUCUUGGAUUUAUUGAAGACUAACUACUGCGAAAGCAUUUGCCAAGGAUGUUUUCAUUAAUCAAGAACGAAAGUUAGGGGAUCGAAGACGAUCAGAUACCGUCGUAGUCUUAAACCAUAAACUAUGCCGACUAGGAAUCAGACGAUGUUAAUUUUUAAUGUACUCGUUUA
RNAcentral lists this unclassified non-coding RNA (519 nucleotides) under uncultured Entrophospora. Its description in RNAcentral is "SSU rRNA". It matches the Rfam family "Eukaryotic small subunit ribosomal RNA", at positions 569 to 1082 of the family's 1831-position model. The record is from RNAcentral. Lineage: Eukaryota; Fungi; Glomeromycota; Glomeromycetes; Entrophosporales; Entrophosporaceae.